RNAcentral lists this long non-coding RNA (235 nucleotides) under Elaeis guineensis (African oil palm). RNAcentral describes it as "long non-coding RNA (EGUI_LNC023822)". The record is from RNAcentral. Lineage: Eukaryota; Viridiplantae; Streptophyta; Magnoliopsida; Arecales; Arecaceae.
GGGUAUGUCGGGCGUGUCCAUCCCGACCGACCGAACCCCGAGGUUCGAUGGCCGACUUACAUGAUGCUCGCCGACCAAUGGAGGGACCCGACACCACUUAUCUGGCUACCGACUUUGGGUCGGUCGGCUCCUCCAACCGCCGUACAGCCGCCAGACGUUGUCAGCUCUGACACGGACAUGCGGCGCAGUUACCUAGGGGCAUUGUCCCGCCGAGAGCCGGGUCAACCCUGGUGAU